RNAcentral lists this ribosomal RNA (317 nucleotides) under Campylobacter sputorum subsp. sputorum. RNAcentral describes it as "Campylobacter sputorum biovar sputorum partial 23S ribosomal RNA". Lineage: Bacteria; Pseudomonadati; Campylobacterota; Epsilonproteobacteria; Campylobacterales; Campylobacteraceae. The record is from RNAcentral.
UUCAGAGCACUAUGCUAUGCUCUUUUAAAUAUUAAGCUUAGGCUCGUCUUUUCUGUAAAUUUUGUAGAGUUUGAAAUUUCUUUCUUCUACAACCUAUAUGGUUAGUCUCAGUCAGAAAUUUCUACACAGCUACAAAAUUUCCUAGAAAAUACUUUGCCUAUUAUAAUAUAUAGAUUGAUUAUCUUAAUUUUUAAAAAAAUAGAUAAAAUACAUUAAUCAAUCCAAAAUAUAACGAUUAAAAAAAUAUACUAAUUAAUUAAAGUAAAUUUAAUAAAUCUAGCAACUUAAUAUUUAAAUGAGUAUAGCAGUGUGAUGGA